UGCCGAGACCCUUGAACACUAUAUAAUCGAACCUUCAUCACCAUUUUAGCCACACACAAUCAUCUUUCGACACCCACACCUCUCACAACCCCCCUUCGCAACCCGGAGAUAUACGGACCUCUCGCACUCUCUUCGAAUCACUUGGAAGUCACCGGAGUUCCACCGGAGUGACCGAAGCUCACCGGAACAACCUCCGUUCCUUAUUUUGUUUCGCCGCAGCCUCGGAACUCGUAGACGACGCCGGAGCCGUACGGGAUCACCGUAGAGAUUGUUCGCUUGUUCGGUUAAUCACUUUCGUUCAUCCUCUUGGUUUCCCAAUCUUUACUCUCGUAAUUCUUUACCAAGAAACGCAAGGCAAACUAAGGUUGAUAGAUGAAGAAUUCAAGAAUCAAGUUAGGGUGGAUUAGAAACACACCUAGAAAUAAACUAUGUUGGAAUCCUGUUUUGUUUAUUUGCACGAUGUAUGACAUUUUAGAAUUUAUGAAAAUGAAUUAAAUAA
Molecule: long non-coding RNA, 499 nt
Organism: Helianthus annuus (common sunflower)
Lineage: Eukaryota; Viridiplantae; Streptophyta; Magnoliopsida; Asterales; Asteraceae
Exons: 3
Source: RefSeq, a predicted model, not a curated record